RNAcentral lists this ribosomal RNA (756 nucleotides) under uncultured Glomeromycotina. RNAcentral's name for it is "SSU rRNA". It matches the Rfam family "Eukaryotic small subunit ribosomal RNA", at positions 342 to 1099 of the family's 1831-position model. Lineage: Eukaryota; Fungi; Glomeromycota. The record is from RNAcentral.
UACCAUGGUGGUAACGGGUAACGGGGUGUUAGGGCACGACACCGGAGAGGGAGCCUGAGAAACGGCUACCACAUCCAAGGAUGGCAGCAGGCGCGCAAAUUACCCAAUCCCGACACGGGGAGGUAGUGACAAUAAAUAACAAUACGGGGUUCUUUAGGAUCUCGUAAUUGGAAUGAGUACAAUUUAAAUCUCUUAACGAGGAACAAUUGGAGGGCGAGUCUGGUGCCAGCAGCCGCGGUAAUUCCAGCUCCAAUAGCGUAUAUUAAAGUUGUUGCAGUUAAAAAGCUCGUAGUUGAAUUUCGGGGUUAGUAGGUUGGUCAUGCCUCUGGUAUGUACUGGUCUCACUGAUUCCUCCUUCCUGAUGAGCCGUAAUGCCAUUAAUUUGGUGUUGCGGGGAAUUUGGACUGUUACUUUGAAAAAAUUAGAGUGUUUANAGCAAGCUAACGCUUGAAUACAUUAGCAUGGAAUAAUGAAAUAGGACGUUCGAUCCUAUUUUGUUGGUUUCUAGGAUUGACGUAAUGAUUAAUAGGGAUAGUUGGGGGCAUUAGUAUUCAAUUGUCAGAGGUGAAAUUCUUGGAUUUAUUGAAGACUAACUACUGCGAAAGCAUUUGCCAAGGAUGUUUUCAUUAAUCAAGAACGAAAGUUAGGGGAUCGAAGACGAUCAGAUACCGUCGUAGUCUUAACCAUAAACUAUGCCGACUAGGGAUCGGAUGAUGUUAAUUUUUUAAUGACUCAUUCGGCGCCUUACGGGAAACC